Long non-coding RNA from Dendronephthya gigantea, 1315 nucleotides. RefSeq lists it as uncharacterized. Lineage: Eukaryota; Metazoa; Cnidaria; Anthozoa; Malacalcyonacea; Nephtheidae. The transcript has 4 exons. The record is from RefSeq and is a predicted model, not a curated record.
GGCCGCAAAUUCAUGCAACAAUCUUUUAUUAAAGGAUGAAUUGAAUUUUUUUCCUGUUAUAGUUAGUCAUUGCGCUCGAUUUUUACAUUAUAUUGAUUUUUUCCUAUUUAGUUAAACAUGCUAACAAUAGACAGCCUGUUCUUGAGCUUUAGCCCAAUGCAAAGAUGACAUAUAUUCAAUGACUGCUAGGCAAAUUUGAAAUGAUAUUUUUAACCUCGCAACGAUUUUACAUAUAGCUGAGGAAACCGGGCUUCUGCUCAUUUCACUUCACGGGCAGCACGGAGACUUUUACUGAAGACGGAAAGAAAGUACAACGAAAUAUGGUGAUGAAAGGCUUAUUGAUGAUCUGUUUGUUUCUCGUGGUCUUUGAAUUUUCGCGGGGAAAUAUGAUGUCAGGACAAAUAACUGAGUGCGAAACACAUGGUGGAUUUUGUAUACCUUUCUAUCAAAAUAGUCCAACCUGCGCAGACUAUGGCGCAUUGCCCUACGCAUACUCGUGUCUUUUAGGAGCAAACUGUUGCCGCUAAGACUGAAACUAAGAUGUGGGACAUGCAGGUACACUAAACUUUGUGUUGUGAGUUUGGGUUCAAGUUGAAAGUAGUUACAGAACAAUGGACGAAUGUCAUAUAUAGCUAUAUAUAUAUGCACUAUUUAUGGUGUUCUGAAAUUGUAGAACUAGAUUGGCUGGAACUUUAAUAAAAAUAACGGGUGCGACUAUAAGUGUAUGCUUGGACUUUUUUUUUCUAUAUUUUACUUUGAUUAGUUACAAUAUUACUUUAACUUUUAUAUACUUUUCGCAGUAUUAAAGUGAAUGAGUUUUGCUUUGAUUCUGAUUUUCCUUGAAGUACGCCUAGCGUUUUUUAAAAAGGGGUAAUAUAAUGAACAAGUGACGUGUCAUCGUCAACUGUUUAUGGCGCUUGCGAUAUACAAUUAAACAUAGGAGAAUUAGGUCUAAGGGUCUACGAGAAUUAGGAAGUGUAAUAGAAUUAGGUCUUGAAGCCCUGUCGCAUCGGUUAUAAAUUCUCAUUACCAAAGAUCGAUUGUUUGGACUAAUUGUUUUUAUAUAUAUAAACCGAUUUACAUACGCAUACAUAGGGUAAAUAACUCGACGGAAGACUUGUGCGUGACACUCGCGAGUAUAACGAGUAGCGCGACUGCAUGCGAGUCCGUAUUGGGUACGAAUGGCGAGUUGUUCGAGUCAAUCGCUAGUAGCGAGCAUUCGUAAAAGGAACACAAUGUUUAGUUGUGCUCAAGUAAAUUUUUUUACUUAAUCAUAAGAGAAUAGUUACCUUCACUCGGCUAAUAGGCGUCCAGU